AUUGAACGCUGGCGGAAUGCUUUACACAUGCAAGUCGAACGGCAGCACGGGAGCUUGCUCCUGGUGGCGAGUGGCGAACGGGUGAGUAACGCGUGGGUAACCUGCCCUAUGGAAAGGAAUAGCCUCGGGAAACUGGGAGUAAUGCCUUAUAAUAUAUGUUUGUCGCAUGGCAGAUAUAUUAAACGCUCCGGUGCCAUAGGAUGGACCCGCGUCCCAUUAGCUAGUUGGUGAGAUAACAGCCCACCAAGGCGACGAUGGGUAACCGGUCUGAGAGGGCGAACGGUCACACUGGAACUGAGACACGGUCCAGACUCCUACGGGAGGCAG
RNAcentral lists this ribosomal RNA (327 nucleotides) under uncultured Bacillota bacterium. RNAcentral's name for it is "bacterial SSU rRNA". It matches the Rfam family "Bacterial small subunit ribosomal RNA", at positions 30 to 351 of the family's 1533-position model. The record is from RNAcentral. Lineage: Bacteria; Bacillati; Bacillota.